This 893-nucleotide ribosomal RNA is filed under the name uncultured Bacillota bacterium. RNAcentral describes it as "bacterial SSU rRNA". It matches the Rfam family "Bacterial small subunit ribosomal RNA", at positions 28 to 897 of the family's 1533-position model. Lineage: Bacteria; Bacillati; Bacillota. The record is from RNAcentral.
GACGAACGCUGGCGGCGUGCCUAAGACAUGCAAGUCGAGCGGGGCUUCGGGGCUUCGGCCCUGAAGCCCAGCGGCGGACGGGUGAGUAACACGUGGAUAACCUGCCCUCUGCUCUGGGAUAACAGGCCGAAAGGCCUGCUAAUACCGGAUAAGCUCACGGCCCCGCAUGGGGCUGGGAGAAAAGGCGCUGGAGUCAGUGGCGCUGGCAGAGGAGGGGUCCGCGGCCCAUUAGCUGGUUGGCGGGGUAACGGCCCACCAAGGCGACGAUGGGUAGCCGGCCUGAGAGGGCGACCGGCCACACUGGGACUGAGACACGGCCCAGACUCCUACGGGAGGCAGCAGUCGGGAAUUUUGCACAAUGGCCGAAAGGCUGAUGCAGCAACGCCGCGUGAGCGAAGAAGGCCUUCGGGUUGUAAAGCUCUGUUGCCUGCGAAGAAGGGCCCCGUCAGGAAAUGGGCGGGGUUUGACGGUAGCAGGCGAGGAAGCCCCGGCAAACUACGUGCCAGCAGCCGCGGUAAUACGUAGGGGGCGAGCGUUGUCCGGAAUUACUGGGCGUAAAGGGCGUGUAGGCGGCCUGUUAAGUCAGGGGUGAAAGACCGGGGCUCAACCCCGGGGGUGCCUCUGAAACUGGCGGGCUUGAGUGCUCUAGAGGGCAGUGGAAUUCCCGGUGUAGCAGUGAAAUGCGUAGAGAUCGGGAGGAACACCAGUGGCGAAGGCGGCUGCCUGGGGAGUCACUGACGCUGAGGCGCGAAAGCUAGGGGAGCAAACAGGAUUAGAUACCCUGGUAGUCCUAGCCGUAAACGAUGAGUGCUAUGUGUGAGGGGUAUCGACCCCCCUCGUGCAGGAGCUAACGCACUAAGCACUCCGCCUGGGGAGUACGGCCGCAAGGUUGA